Molecule: small RNA, 29 nt
Filed under: Bombyx mori (domestic silkworm)
Lineage: Eukaryota; Metazoa; Arthropoda; Insecta; Lepidoptera; Bombycidae
Description: ovarian small RNA-1643
Source: RNAcentral
UUGUAUUGUUGGAGUACAGCGCCGAUGGC